ACCUUAUCAAGAGAGGCUGAGGGAAAGGCCCUGUGAAGCCCGGCAACCUGCACAUGGAUGCAAGGUGCCAAUUCCUGCGGAGUGGAUAACCGUGCAGAUGAGGA
This 104-nucleotide non-coding RNA is filed under the name Ethanoligenens harbinense. RNAcentral describes it as "SAM-I sequence". It matches the Rfam family "SAM riboswitch aptamer (S box leader)". From Rfam's summary of the family: The SAM riboswitch is found upstream of a number of genes which code for proteins involved in methionine or cysteine biosynthesis in Gram-positive bacteria. The SAM riboswitch acts at the level of transcription termination control. The record is from RNAcentral. Lineage: Bacteria; Bacillati; Bacillota; Clostridia; Eubacteriales; Oscillospiraceae. RNAcentral also lists the same sequence under 1 other name.